GGAAAGGAACAUAUACCUAUUUACAUAACAAAUCCUAUGGUAGGUCGCAAAUUGGGGGAAUUCGUGCCUACUCGGCAUUUCACGAGUUAUGAAAAUGCAAGAAAGGAUACUAAAUCUCGUCGUUAA
This 126-nucleotide ribosomal RNA is filed under the name Triticum aestivum (bread wheat). RNAcentral describes it as "partial small subunit ribosomal RNA". The record is from RNAcentral. Lineage: Eukaryota; Viridiplantae; Streptophyta; Magnoliopsida; Poales; Poaceae.